CUUACCACAGUUUCUCCAGUUUACAGUGAGGAUCCUCCAGUCCAGCACAGAGACACUUCACUCCCAAAUCUCUUAUUUUAUUCAGAGACAGAUCCAGUUCUCUCAGGUGUGAGGGGUUUGAUCUCAGAGCUGAAGCCAGAGCAGAACAACCUUCAUCUGUGACGCCACAAUCAAUCAACCUGUAGAGAACAAUGACACAGUGUUAAUUGUAGUUGAAGUGUGUGUAGUUUGUUAUUGACUCUGGUCUCAGAGCAGGAGAGGAGAUAUAAUGACAAGCAUUGCCACAAACUGCUGCUGAUAGAAUGAGAUUUCUGCAUGUUGAUGCUCAAUGCUGCUGUUUGAAACUGUCAUGUGCUUCAGGACUGAACAGACACACAGAGCUGAAUGUGAGAUAUUGUUUCAUAGUGAUAUAAGCACAGAUCUUUUGUUUGGGUUACAUAACCACCGCAAUAAAGAAUGAAGGCCAACCCAGUGUGAAUUAUACAAAAAGACAGAAGAGAAAAAAGUACUAGAUAUACACAAUAUAUACAAUAAAUAUAUGAGGGUGAGUGAGUAAUGUCCUUGGAAGUCCAAUGGGGCUUCUCGGGUCGACAUUAACACACUGACAAAAUUAUAUUCAAAAUUAAAAAUAUUUUUAUACCACUUUUUAAUGUGUGAUUGUGUAAAGGUGAUCACCAGAUACCAACCUUUCGUGAACUUGCUUACACUCGUUCUCAUGGAGGGUUUCU
Carassius gibelio (silver crucian carp) is the source of this 728-nucleotide long non-coding RNA. RefSeq lists it as uncharacterized. The record is from RefSeq and is a predicted model, not a curated record. NCBI's taxonomy places the organism in Eukaryota, Metazoa, Chordata, Actinopteri, Cypriniformes, Cyprinidae. The transcript is spliced from 4 exons.